RNAcentral lists this long non-coding RNA (734 nucleotides) under Equus caballus (horse). RNAcentral's name for it is "lncRNA (ENSECAG00000051481.1)". The record is from RNAcentral. Lineage: Eukaryota; Metazoa; Chordata; Mammalia; Perissodactyla; Equidae.
CCCGUGAAAUAUUCGUCUCCUGAUUCCUGAGAGGGCGCUUCUGUGAAAAGAAAGAAGGCAGAUAACUGGAUUCCUUGUAAACAUGCUGAAAACUGACCUUUUGGUAUAUAGACUAAAGGGUAUACCUGAGACCACACAAGAAGAGAAGACAGGCAGAGUGGUAUCUGCGUCUCAUUCUGGUACAAAGGCCCAUUUGCAUCAAGUGAAAUGUGGACUUUGGAUGUGCGAAAUAAUCUGUGAGAACACUGCUCAGCUAAAGCCCUAGGGCAAAGACUGAAGGCUUCACUGGACAGACAAGUCCUUCCUGUCUCUGACCCUGUGCAUUCGGGGUGACCCAGCUAUAUAAUAUUCCACGAGGGGUGAGAAAUUUCCUCUACACCCACCAGUAGGACUUUUUGGGGGAUGUGGAAUUUGGCCACUGGAAGGGAGGCUAUUGACAGACAACCCAGAAAGAGCUCCUAAGGUCAAUUUUCAGAAAAUAUGUUGAUCUCUCUGUACUCCAUUCAUUCUUUUAGUCUUAAGUAUUUAUUUCAUAAAUGGGCUGUCUGUUUGACCUAUCUGAAUUCUAAAUUAAAAGUCAUCAGCUUUAAUAUUGUAACAUAUUGAUUUCAUGGUACUGAUCAUGUAACCUGUGGUUCCAUGUGGUCUAGGGCCACUUCUAAUUGGUUUAUACCUGUCUAUCCAGUGACAAGCACAUCUUGCUACUUAGAUGGUCAUCUCAGACAUUCAAAAUU